GAUGUUGGGUUAAGUCCCGCAACGAGCGCAACCCUUGCCCUUAGUUGCCAGCAUUCAGUUGGGCACUCUAAGGGGACUGCCAGUGACAAACUGGAGGAAGGCGGGGAUGACGUCAAGUCAUCAUGGCCCUUAUGACCAGGGSUACACACGUACUACAAUGGUCGGUACAGAGGGUUGCCAAGCCGCGAGGSGGAGCCAAUCCCAGAAAGCCGAUCGUAGUCCGGAUCGGAGUCUGCAACUCGACUCCGUGAAGUCGGAAUCGCUAGUAAUCGCCGAUCAGCAUUUGCGGCGGUGAAUACGUUCCCGGGUCU
RNAcentral lists this ribosomal RNA (311 nucleotides) under uncultured bacterium. RNAcentral describes it as "bacterial SSU rRNA". It matches the Rfam family "Bacterial small subunit ribosomal RNA", at positions 1071 to 1381 of the family's 1533-position model. The record is from RNAcentral.